AGUCCGAACAGGCGCCCAGUUGCUGGACGUAGACCCGAACCAAGUGAUCUAUCCAUGGCCAGGAUGAAGGUGCGGUAACACGCACUGGAGGUCCGAACCCACUAAUGUUGAAAAUUAGGGGAUGAGCUGUGGAUAGGGGUGAAAGGCUAAACAAACUUGGAAAUAGCUGGUCUCUCCGAAAACUAUUUAGGUAGUGCCUCAAGUAUCACCGACGGGGGUAAAGCACUGUUAUGGCUAGGGGGUCAUCGCGACUUACCAAACCAUUGCAAACUCAGAAUACCGUCGAGUGCGAGCUUGGGAGACAGACAUCGGGUGCUAACGUCCGGUGUCGAGAGGGAAACAACCCCAGACCGCCGAUUAAGGUCCCCAAGCCAUAGUUAAGUGGAAAACGAGGUGGGAAGGCUUAGACAGCCAGGAGGUUGGCUUAGAAGCAGCCAUCCUUUAAAGAAAGCGUAAUAGCUCACUGGUCGAGUCGUCCUGCGCGGAAGAUGUAACGGGG
This 499-nucleotide ribosomal RNA is filed under the name uncultured bacterium. RNAcentral describes it as "bacterial LSU rRNA". It matches the Rfam family "Bacterial large subunit ribosomal RNA", at positions 680 to 1180 of the family's 2925-position model. The record is from RNAcentral.